CAUUAGGGUUUAACAAAUUGAAUGCCCGCUCUCUCUUACUCUCCAGCUCUCUCUCUUAUUCUGCUACUCUUGAAAUCUGUCUUGCUCGAUCUUUCUUACUCGAUCUGUCUCGCUCAAUCUCCCGCUCGCUCUCUCUUACCGACUGAAACCCCAUUGUUGUUGGCGUCUCUUCCAACUCACCCACCUCUGUCGGAAGCAACAAACACUAACAAUGUGAGAGAUCGGACGCCCCCACCCCACUAGCUUCAUCUCCCCCUCUCGCUCGCUUUCUCUUACUCUCUCCGUCCUCAUCGUCACCGUCUGAAACCCCAUUGUUGCCAGUGACGAGCUCUUUCUCUCUCUCUCUCUCUGUAUUUUUUAACCGAUCGCGUCUCCUCUUGCUAUCGGCGAUGAGGUUUGAUAUCCAACAGAAGCAAGAACCCGAGAUAUCCGAAGUGGUCAAUACUCAAUAGCAUGAAAGAUUUGAUUGAUUACACUUGAGAAACUAGGCCUGGACCGAUGGGUUAAUUUCAUGGUUAUGCAAUGGUUUGUGCCAAAUGAAUGAUCUUAAUCAAAGUACCCUCACUAACUUAUUAAUAUAUUCAUCGGAUUGCGUUGCCUCCAAUGUAAGACACAUGCUAACAGGUUACAUGCUUGCUCCAAGUAUGCUGCCAAUUAUUAUGCCACCAUCGGGUGCUGCUCCCUUUCCUGUUCAAGUUAAUAGCCUCCCAAGGCCACCAACAAUGACUGCAGGACCAGCCGCAGUUCCAGGGGCCCCCAUGGCUAAUUCUAGUAGUUCUACCCCUCCUAUGCAUCAGGUUAAUUCAACCCCAACUACCAGUGGAGGUUUUGACAGUUCAACAUGAGUGCUCAAGCUCCUGAGGCCAACCAUUAGUCCUGUCAACCUUGUAUGGGUUUUUCCGUUAGAUCUUGUAAAAUCGUGCAACUAUAGCACUAUUGACAUUUGUGGAACGUGAACAAUUGUUUUGAUGUUUGCUGUUAGUAUUUUGGUCAAGAUUAUACUUAAAAUCAAUAUUUAAUACUACUUUUUUAUCAGGUAA
Diospyros lotus (date-plum) is the source of this 1040-nucleotide long non-coding RNA. RefSeq lists it as uncharacterized. NCBI's taxonomy places the organism in Eukaryota, Viridiplantae, Streptophyta, Magnoliopsida, Ericales, Ebenaceae. The transcript is spliced from 4 exons. The record is from RefSeq and is a predicted model, not a curated record.